UAGAUCUUAUGUUUUUUGUUUUGGUGUUCUUUUGGUUGAAGGAAGAGAGAAAACAAAAAAUGCAAUGUCAAAACUAAGAAAAGGAAGAAACAAAAUAGGUUAUGUAGCAUCAAAACCAAAAGAAAGGGAAGAGAGAAAAUAGGUGAUGUAACUUAAUUUCAAGAUUUUAGGAGACCCAAAGCACUAAAUGUUUAAAGACAAUUCGAUUGAGUUUGUAUUUUUCCACUUCUUUUUCUGAACUUUUUUUUUUUUUCAAUUUAUAUGUAUAUAUAUGUUUUUUGGAAUUGUCUGAGAAUUAAGGGUUGAUGUUUGAUCUUCUAGUUUAGAAGACCAAGAUUGUUAAAUUGAUUGUGGAUUGAUGUUAUGGUUAACCUACUUUUAAAUUUUCUUCCUUGACACAGUUAUUCAUUUCCUGCAAAUACAACUGCUUAAAGACAUUAGGAAUUGGUUAUUGCUUGCUAUAUUUCUUCUGAUUUAGAGACUGCGGUGGAGGCUGAAAGGGUAUGAGAUUCUAAGGUCAGACGUUAAGGCUUCUUUGCCUUGACUCUUCUGUGGUUUGAUCAUAAUCUAGCAAAUGUUUGAGCUUAGUAAUUCGAUAUAUCAAUUGCCAUUUCUGUAAUUCUACAAGAAUACAAUCAUUACCCAGAAAUUGCAGGGCUAAGGAUUAUACUGCAGUAGAACAACCUGUGGAAGCAUUCACGAAUAUCCUUUUCUCAUCUGGAACUACAGGUAACUUGAAACCUUUUAACUGAAACAUCUCAAAGAUCGUAAUGCUUCAUCUUGCAUAUUUCAUGCAAAUCACUGGUAUUAAAGACCAUUCCAGGAUUUGUCAAAGGUAGUUUCUAUGUAUGGAUGUCUUUUAGAAGAAGCCUCACAUGCAUGCCACGAUUUUAUAAAAAUUGAGUACAGCAGAGUUUUACACAAGUUUUAACCAAAUGUGUCCAUGGAUUAGUCUCAAAAUUCAUGUUAGUGAAGUGACAGCUUGUUCUUAGUACAUGAAUGUCUUGGGUGAUAUUCAAAUCAAGUCGGUAUGCAGAAAUAAAAUAGU
Long non-coding RNA from Magnolia sinica, 1048 nucleotides. RefSeq lists it as uncharacterized. The record is from RefSeq and is a predicted model, not a curated record. NCBI's taxonomy places the organism in Eukaryota, Viridiplantae, Streptophyta, Magnoliopsida, Magnoliales, Magnoliaceae. The transcript has 3 exons.